GAUGAACGCUGGCGGCGUGCCUAAUACAUGCAAGUCGAGCGAACGGACGAGAAGCUUGCUUCUCUGAUGUUAGCGGCGGACGGGUGAGUAACACGUGGAUAACCUACCUAUAAGACUGGGAUAACUUCGGGAAACCGGAGCUAAUACCGGAUGAUAUUUUGAACCGCAUGGUUCAAAAGUGAAAGACGGUCUUGCUGUCACUUAUAGAUGGAUCCGCGCUGCAUUAGCUAGUUGGUAAGGUAACGGCUUACCAAGGCAACGAUGCAUAGCCGACCUGAGAGGGUGAUCGGCCACACUGGAACUGAGACACGGUCCAGACUCCUACGGGAGGCAGCAGUAGGGAAUCUUCCGCAAUGGGCGAAAGCCUGACGGAGCAACGCCGCGUGAUUGAUGAAGGUCUUCGGAUCGUAAAACUCUGUUAUUAGGGAAGAACAUAUGUGUAAGUAACUGUGCACAUCUUGACGGUACCUAAUCAGAAAGCCACGGCUAACUACGUG
RNAcentral lists this ribosomal RNA (497 nucleotides) under uncultured bacterium. RNAcentral's name for it is "partial 16S ribosomal RNA". It matches the Rfam family "Bacterial small subunit ribosomal RNA", at positions 28 to 507 of the family's 1533-position model. The record is from RNAcentral.